This 27-nucleotide non-coding RNA is filed under the name Rattus norvegicus (Norway rat). The record is from RNAcentral. Lineage: Eukaryota; Metazoa; Chordata; Mammalia; Rodentia; Muridae.
UAAAAAUACUGGUAGACAAUAUCGAAA